Molecule: ribosomal RNA, 309 nt
Filed under: uncultured Pseudomonadota bacterium
Lineage: Bacteria; Pseudomonadati; Pseudomonadota
Description: bacterial SSU rRNA
Rfam family: Bacterial small subunit ribosomal RNA
Source: RNAcentral
AACGAACGCUGGCGGCAGGCUUAACACAUGCAAGUCGAACGCGCCCUUCGGGGCGAGUGGCAGACGGGUGAGUAACGCGUGGGAACCUACCUUUUGGUACGGAAUAACUCAGGGAAACUUGAGCUAAUACCGUAUGUGCCCUGUCCUUUAACGGGAUUUGGGGAAAGAUUUAUCGCCAAAGGAUGGGCCCGCGUCGGAUUAGCUAGUUGGUGGGGUAACGGCCUACCAAGGCGACGAUCCGUAGCUGGUCUGAGAGGAUGAUCAGCCACACUGGGACUGAGACACGGCCCAGACUCCUACGGGAGGCUG